This is a long non-coding RNA of Amphimedon queenslandica, 172 nucleotides long. RefSeq lists it as uncharacterized. The transcript has 3 exons. Lineage: Eukaryota; Metazoa; Porifera; Demospongiae; Haplosclerida; Niphatidae. The record is from RefSeq and is a predicted model, not a curated record.
UAUCUUUUCUGUGGUAAUACUUGGUGAGUCGGCCCGCGAGACUAGGUGAAUCAGGCUUCAAGUGUUAACUUAUGUGUUAUCCAUAAAAUGGCUGAUUCUUCACUGACUAUUGCUACAUCUCCAUCACGUAUAAAAGAAGUUAAUCCAAACUUUUCAUACGAUGUCAGUAUAA